UACGGAGGAUCCAAGCGUUAUCCGGAUUCAUUGGGUUUAAAGGGUGCGUAGGCGGGAUAGUAAGUCAGUGGUGAAAGCCUGCAGCUUAACUGCAGAACUGCCAUUGAUACUGCUAACCUAGAGUACAGCUGAUGUGGGCGGAAUGUGUCGUGUAGCGGUGAAAUGCUUAGAUAUGACACAGAACACCGAUUGCGAAGGCAGCUCACAAAACUGUAACUGACGCUGAGGCACGAAAGUGUGGGGAUCGAACAGGAUUAGAAACCCGCGUAGUCC
This 273-nucleotide ribosomal RNA is filed under the name uncultured bacterium. RNAcentral describes it as "partial 16S ribosomal RNA". It matches the Rfam family "Bacterial small subunit ribosomal RNA", at positions 524 to 796 of the family's 1533-position model. The record is from RNAcentral.